RNAcentral lists this ribosomal RNA (366 nucleotides) under uncultured organism. RNAcentral's name for it is "bacterial LSU rRNA". It matches the Rfam family "Bacterial large subunit ribosomal RNA", at positions 2099 to 2465 of the family's 2925-position model. The record is from RNAcentral.
CUUUACUGUAACUUGAAAUUGAAAUUGGACUUUAUUUGCGCAGUAUAGGUGGAAGGCGUUGAAAGUAAUCUUGCGGGAUUAGUGGAGCAUCAGUGAGAUACCACUCCUAUAAUGUUAGAUUUCUAACUUUGGAUCAUGAUCUGGUCAAAGAACAGUUUCAGGCGGGCAGUUUGACUGGGGCGGUCGCCUCCCAAAUGGUAACGGAGGCGUACAAAGGUUUCCUCUGAACGGGUAGAAAUCGUAUCUAGAGUGUAAAGGCAUAAGGAAGCUUGACUGUGAGACCUACAAGUCGAGCAGGGACGAAAGUCGGUCUUAGUGAUCUGACGGUGCUGAGUGGAAAGGCCGUCACUCAACGGAUAAAAGUUA